This 578-nucleotide ribosomal RNA is filed under the name Streptomyces griseoruber. RNAcentral's name for it is "bacterial SSU rRNA". It matches the Rfam family "Bacterial small subunit ribosomal RNA", at positions 57 to 652 of the family's 1533-position model. Lineage: Bacteria; Bacillati; Actinomycetota; Actinomycetes; Kitasatosporales; Streptomycetaceae. The record is from RNAcentral.
GCAAGUCGAACGAUGAAGCCCUUCGGGGUGGAUUAGUGGCGAACGGGUGAGUAACACGUGGGCAAUCUGCCCUUCACUCUGGGACAAGCCCUGGAAACGGGGUCUAAUACCGGAUAUCACUCCCGCAGGCAUCUGUGGGGGUCGAAAGCUCCGGCGGUGAAGGAUGAGCCCGCGGCCUAUCAGCUUGUUGGUGAGGUAAUGGCUCACCAAGGCGACGACGGGUAGCCGGCCUGAGAGGGCGACCGGCCACACUGGGACUGAGACACGGCCCAGACUCCUACGGGAGGCAGCAGUGGGGAAUAUUGCACAAUGGGCGAAAGCCUGAUGCAGCGACGCCGCGUGAGGGAUGACGGCCUUCGGGUUGUAAACCUCUUUCAGCAGGGAAGAAGCGAAAGUGACGGUACCUGCAGAAGAAGCGCCGGCUAACUACGUGCCAGCAGCCGCGGUAAUACGUAGGGCGCAAGCGUUGUCCGGAAUUAUUGGGCGUAAAGAGCUCGUAGGCGGCUUGUCACGUCGGGUGUGAAAGCCCGGGGCUUAACCCCGGGUCUGCAUUCGAUACGGGCUAGCUAGAGUGUGGU